UGAAGAGUUUGAUCAUGGCUCAGAUUGAACGCUGGCGGCAGGCCUAACACAUGCAAGUCGAACGGUAACAGGAAGCAGCUUGCUGCUUCGCUGACGAGUGGCGGACGGGUGAGUAAUGUCUGGGAAACUGCCUGAUGGAGGGGGAUAACUACUGGAAACGGUGGCUAAUACCGCAUAACGUCGCAAGACCAAAGAGGGGGACCUUCGGGCCUCUUGCCAUCAGAUGUGCCCAGAUGGGAUUAGCUAGUUGGUGAGGUAACGGCUCACCAAGGCGACGAUCCCUAGCUGGUCUGAGAGGAUGACCAGCCACACUGGAACUGAGACACGGUCCAGACUCCUACGGGAGGCAGCAGUGGGGAAUAUUGCACAAUGGGCGCAAGCCUGAUGCAGCCAUGCCGCGUGUAUGAAGAAGGCCUUCGGGUUGUAAAGUACUUUCAGCGGGGAGGAAGGUGUUGUGGUUAAUAACCGCAGCAAUUGACGUUACCCGCAGAAGAAGCACCGGCUAACUCCGUGCCAGCAGCCGCGGUAAUACGGAGGGUGCAAGCGUUAAUCGGAAUUACUGGGCGUAAAGCGCACGCAGGCGGUCUGUCAAGUCGGAUGUGAAAUCCCCGGGCUCAACCUGGGAACUGCAUUCGAAACUGGCAGGCUUGAGUCUUGUAGAGGGGGGUAGAAUUCCAGGUGUAGCGGUGAAAUGCGUAGAGAUCUGGA
Molecule: ribosomal RNA, 708 nt
Filed under: Salmonella enterica
Lineage: Bacteria; Pseudomonadati; Pseudomonadota; Gammaproteobacteria; Enterobacterales; Enterobacteriaceae
Also listed under: 2 other names
Description: bacterial SSU rRNA
Rfam family: Bacterial small subunit ribosomal RNA
Source: RNAcentral